UACGGGGGGAGCAAGCGUUGUUCGGAUUUACUGGGCGUAAAGGGCGCGUAGGCGGCCACCGCAAGUCGACUGUGAAAUCUCCGGGCUUAACCCGGAAAGGUCAGCCGAUACUGCGGGGCUAGAGUGCAGAAGGGGCAACUGGAAUUCUCGGUGUAGCGGUGAAUUGCGUAGAUAUCGAGAGGAACACCUGCGGCGAAGGCGGGUUGCUGGGCUGACACUGACGCUGAUGCGCGAAAGCUAGGGGAGCGAACGGG
This 254-nucleotide ribosomal RNA is filed under the name uncultured bacterium. Its description in RNAcentral is "partial 16S ribosomal RNA". It matches the Rfam family "Bacterial small subunit ribosomal RNA", at positions 524 to 776 of the family's 1533-position model. The record is from RNAcentral.